This 712-nucleotide ribosomal RNA is filed under the name uncultured bacterium. Its description in RNAcentral is "bacterial SSU rRNA". It matches the Rfam family "Bacterial small subunit ribosomal RNA", at positions 104 to 832 of the family's 1533-position model. The record is from RNAcentral.
GGGUGAGUAACGCGUGAGUAACCUGCCCUGGAGUGGGGGACAACAGUUGGAAACGACUGCUAAUACCGCAUAAGCCCACGGAUUCGCAUGGAUCUGCGGGAAAAGGAUUUAUUCGCUUCAGGAUGGACUCGCGUCCAAUUAGCUAGUUGGUGAGGUAACGGCCCACCAAGGCGACGAUUGGUAGCCGGACUGAGAGGUUGAACGGCCACAUUGGGACUGAGACACGGCCCAGACUCCUACGGGAGGCAGCAGUGGGGGAUAUUGCACAAUGGGGGAAACCCUGAUGCAGCGACGCCGCGUGGAGGAAGAAGGUUUUCGGAUUGUAAACUCCUGUCGUUAGGGACGAUAAUGACGGUACCUAACAAGAAAGCACCGGCUAACUACGUGCCAGCAGCCGCGGUAAAACGUAGGGUGCAAGCGUUGUCCGGAAUUACUGGGUGUAAAGGGAGCGCAGGCGGACCGGCAAGUUGGAAGUGAAAACUAUGGGCUCAACCCAUAAAUUGCUUUCAAAACUGCUGGCCUUGAGUAGUGCAGAGGUAGGUGGAAUUCCCGGUGUAGCGGUGGAAUGCGUAGAUAUCGGGAGGAACACCAGUGGCGAAGGCGACCUACUGGGCACCAACUGACGCUGAGGCUCGAAAGCAUGGGUAGCAAACAGGAUUAGAUACCCUGGUAGUCCAUGCCGUAAACGAUGAUUACUAGGUGUUGGAGGAUU